UAUCUACUGAAGAGAAAACCUGGGAGGAGAGUAGACAGGACUGUCUGAAGAGAGGAGCAGACCUGGUGAUAAUAAACAGCAGAGAGGAACAGGAGGUUCUCUUCAAUCUCAACAAGAGAGUCUGGAUUGGUCUGACUGACAGAGAGACAGAGGGGACCUGGAAAUGGGUGGAUGGAACAACACUGACCACAGAGUACUGGUAUGACCAACAGCCUGAUAACAAAGGUCCUACUGGGGAGGAGGACUGUGUUGAGAUACACAAACAUCAGCGUCCUCUGAAGGCAUGGAAUGACUUGUCAUGUGGCAGCAAACUCAACUGGAUUUGUGAGAAAGUGGUUGAAUAUCACCAUGACAACAUACUGUAAUACAAAGUGGACACAUCUCCAUCUCUCUCUCUCUCUCUCUC
Coregonus clupeaformis (lake whitefish) is the source of this 406-nucleotide long non-coding RNA. RefSeq lists it as uncharacterized. The transcript has 3 exons. Lineage: Eukaryota; Metazoa; Chordata; Actinopteri; Salmoniformes; Salmonidae. The record is from RefSeq and is a predicted model, not a curated record.